This 307-nucleotide long non-coding RNA is filed under the name Nicotiana benthamiana. RNAcentral's name for it is "long non-coding RNA (NBEN_LNC036711)". The record is from RNAcentral. Lineage: Eukaryota; Viridiplantae; Streptophyta; Magnoliopsida; Solanales; Solanaceae.
AACUUGUGCAUAACUGCAUAAUUAUUCAUUGCAGCAACUAUCGUCUUCUUUUCCUGGUACACUUGUCCUUCUUCAAUACAUGUUUGAGAAGAUUCAAUUAUUAUUUCACUUUGAUAUUCCUCAAUAGCUGGUGAAGAUGGAAUUUCUAUUAACCUUAAUGAACCUGAAGAACCUGCAGACAAUACAUUCACAUUGUAGUUUCUUUGUAUAUAAAUGGCGUCAAAUUGUAGUUGAUUAGAGAACAUAAAAAUCUCAGAUUUCGGUUUCGAAGCAACAUACCUGUACUGAUGGGACAUUCAUUGGUGAU